Cygnus olor (mute swan) is the source of this 753-nucleotide long non-coding RNA. RefSeq lists it as uncharacterized. The transcript has 4 exons. NCBI's taxonomy places the organism in Eukaryota, Metazoa, Chordata, Aves, Anseriformes, Anatidae. The record is from RefSeq and is a predicted model, not a curated record.
UUUCAGCUGAUUCAACUUAAGUUUAAAAGCAAUUCUCCAGUAAAGAAGCCCCGUCUAUCUCAGGCUGGGUAAGAAACUGGAAUACAAGAAAUUCACUUGACUAAGCCUUCUCAGUCAUAACUUGUGGAUAUUAUGUUAACUGCUACAGUUAACACUGGUCAAUGACUUCUGAAGCCUUAGCGUGGCUGGAAGGAUUAUCCUGUUGCAUUGUAAACAACCACUAAACCUUCUAAAGAGAUUUCUCAUCUGCACUGUUUUGCUGGAUAUUGUGCAGUCUAACAUACCUGCAGUCUAACUUAGGUCUUGUGGAAGAAAUGGUAUUCAAGAAUCAUGUAAUCAAAUACUGGAUCAUGAUGCAUUUGUACACAGGAGCAAAUUGGAGUUAAAAUCAUAAUAAGUCUGGCAUUUCCUAACUUUGUAGCACAUGAUUCACAAUGUUUGUAUUUUUCUGUGUUUUUGCAUGUCUAGUUGUGACUAGCUGCCAUUUAUAUGACAUAUAUAUGUAUUGCGUGUGUUUAUAAAGGCACAACAGUGUAAAUUUUGCCUCUUGUUCAUCCCUAAAUCAUACAUAGGUAUGGAAUACUCAACUACUAAUGCACAUUUUGCAGAGAUCUUUUUAGUCUGAAGUCAACUGUUACUUGCGUCAGCUCAGCAAACUGACCUGCUUCACCUCUUUGGUGUUCCUUACUUGGUAUAUGCACCUCUAUUUUUUUCCACAUCCUAACAGGUUGAACUCCAUUAGAUACCAGUGAA